RNAcentral lists this ribosomal RNA (888 nucleotides) under Bartalinia pondoensis. Its description in RNAcentral is "eukaryotic LSU rRNA". It matches the Rfam family "Eukaryotic large subunit ribosomal RNA", at positions 1 to 910 of the family's 3401-position model. The record is from RNAcentral. Lineage: Eukaryota; Fungi; Ascomycota; Sordariomycetes; Amphisphaeriales; Sporocadaceae.
GUUGACCUCGGAUCAGGUAGGAAUACCCGCUGAACUUAAGCAUAUCAAUAAGCGGAGGAAAAGAAACCAACAGGGAUUGCCUUAGUAACGGCGAGUGAAGCGGCAAUAGCUCAAAUUUGAAAUCUGGCGCUUGCGUCCGAGUUGUAAUUUGUAGAGGAUGAUUUUGGUUAGGUACCUUUCGAGUUCCUUGGAACAGGACGCCUUAGAGGGGUGAGAGCCCCGUACGAUUGGAUGCCGAGCCUCUGUAAAUCUCCUUCGACGAGUCGAGUAGUUUGGGAAUGCUGCUCUAAAUGGGAGGUAAAUUUCUUCUAAAGCUAAAUACCGGCCAGAGACCGAUAGCGCACAAGUAGAGUGAUCGAAAGAUGAAAAGCACUUUGAAAAGAGGGUUAAAUAGCACGUGAAAUUGUUGAAAGGGAAGGAUUUAUGACCAGACUUUUUCUAGGAGAAUCAUCCGGUGUUCUCACCGGUGCACUUCUUUUAGUUUAGGCCAGCAUCGACUUUCGGCGGUGGAUAAAAGCUUUAGGAAUGUGGCUUCCCUCGGGAAGUGUUAUAGCCUAUUGUAUAAUACACUGCUGGGGGUCGAGGUACGCGCUUCUGCAAGGAUGCUGGCGUAAUGGUUAUCAAUCACCCGUCUUGAAACACGGACCAAGGAGUCGAACAUUUGUGCGAGUGUUUGGGUGUUAAACCCUCACGCGUAAUGAAAGUGAACGGAGGUGAGAGCCCUUACGGGUGCAUCAUCGACCGAUCCUGAUGUUUUCGGAUGGAUUUGAGUAAGAGCAUAAAUGUUCGGACCCGAAAGAUGGUGAACUAUGCGUGGAUAGGGUGAAGCCAGAGGAAACUCUGGUGGAGGCUCGCAGCGGUUCUGACGUGCAAAUCGAUCUGUACAAA